CAAGUCGAGCGAAGCACUUGCCAUUGACUCUUCGGAAGAUUUGGCAUUUGACUGAGCGGCGGACGGGUGAGUAACGCGUGGGUAACCUGCCUCAUACAGGGGAAUAACAGUUAGAAAUGGCUGCUAAUGCCGCAUAAGCGCACAGGACCGCAUGGUCUGGUGUGAAAAACUGAGGUGGUAUGAGAUGGGCCCGCGUCUGAUUAGGUAGUUGGCGGGGUAACGGCCCACCAAGCCGACGAUCAGUAGCCGACCUGAGAGGGUGACCGGCCACAUUGGGACUGAGACACGGCCCAGACUCCUACGGGAGGCAGCAGUGGGGAAUAUUGCACAAUGGAGGAAACUCUGAUGCAGCGACGCCGCGUGAAGGAAGAAGUAUCUCGGUAUGUAAACUUCUAUCAGCAGGGAAGAAAAUGACGGUACCUGACUAAGAAGCCCCGGCUAACUACGUGCCAGCAGCCGCGGUAAUACGUAGGGGGCAAGCGUUAUCCGGAUUUACUGGG
RNAcentral lists this ribosomal RNA (500 nucleotides) under uncultured bacterium. RNAcentral's name for it is "bacterial SSU rRNA". It matches the Rfam family "Bacterial small subunit ribosomal RNA", at positions 58 to 558 of the family's 1533-position model. The record is from RNAcentral.